AUUGAACGCUGGCGGCAGGCCUAACACAUGCAAGUCGAACGAGUGGCGGACGGGUGAGUAAUGUCUGGGAAACUGCCUGAUGGAGGGGGAUAACUACUGGAAACGGUAGCUAAUACCGCAUACCAUCGGAUGUGCCCAGAUGGGAUUAGCUAGUAGGUGGGGUAAAGGCUCACCUAGGCGACGAUCCCUAGCUGGUCUGAGAGGAUGACCGGCCACACUGGAACUGAGACACGGUCCAGACUCCUACGGGAGGAAGCAGUGGGGAAUAUUCCACAAUGGGCGAAAGCCUGAUGCAGCAAUGCCGCGUGUGUGAAGAAGGCCUUCGGGUUGUAAAGUACUUUAAGCGGGGAGGCGUUACCCGCAGAGAAAGCACCGGCUAACUACGUGCCAGCAGCCGCGGUAAUUC
RNAcentral lists this ribosomal RNA (406 nucleotides) under uncultured bacterium. Its description in RNAcentral is "partial 16S ribosomal RNA". It matches the Rfam family "Bacterial small subunit ribosomal RNA", at positions 30 to 526 of the family's 1533-position model. The record is from RNAcentral.